This 1972-nucleotide long non-coding RNA is filed under the name Homo sapiens (human). Its description in RNAcentral is "non-protein coding CASC22:26". The record is from RNAcentral. Lineage: Eukaryota; Metazoa; Chordata; Mammalia; Primates; Hominidae.
CCUGCAACUUUGAGCAAGUUCGUGAAUCUCACUAAGGCUCAGUUUCCUCCAUAAAAUUAAUCAAUAUCAGGGCCUCUGCAUUGGACAACUCCAGAGGGCACCAUUGGGGUUAUACCUUGUGUUUGCCUAACCUUCAUUGCAGUGGGCAGGUGCAUGCUUUCUACAAUGUCCUAAGGUCUAAAGGGGUAGAGUUCUGUGUGUGGCAUUUUAGGCCUGGAAAGGAUGAGAGUCUACAAAACCAGAGAAAUACUGCAGGUGAGUGAGGGGCUAAGAUCCAGAUGCCCCCUGCCACAUUGAUCCUCUCCAAGACAGGAGGCCCCAGAUCCCCAGAUCUGAAGCCCUUUUUAAGAGCAAGAGUAUCAGCUGAUGAAUUUCAUGCAUUGCACACCGUGACUCCCAAGAUGGUCUGUCAGAUCUCCAGGUUCUGGAGGUUGGAGGUUCCGCUCAGUGACAGCCUGGCGGUACAGCAUACCCAGGUUCAAAUCCCAGAUCUACCACUUAAUAACUAGGUAAUCUUGGAUGGAUUACUUAACCUUCUUAAGCCUCAUUUACCUCGUGAUAAUUUAUUUUAUAGAGUUGCUGAAAGAAUCAAUGUGAAAAUGUACAUAAAGUGUUUAGCAAAUACAGUAGUGCUCAAUAAAUGUCAGCUUUGUUGUAACUCUUCAGAUUUUCCCUGGGCAAAGUAAAAGCUUUCUUGGAGCCUUUCUCUUAAUCAGUCCUGCCUCAAACAUCCCUUCUGCUGAAACAAGCUGUGAUUAAUCCACUGUAGACCCGACACUCCACUAAAUGGGGCACAGUGCAGAGGUCCGUAAUGAGGAUCUUUUUAAAAGUAAAGCAUAUACAUCAGUCUCAACACUUAUAAACAUCAGAAUUACUUGGAAAGGAGGUUUACAAAAAUGCAAAUGACAUUUUGGAAAGCCUAAUUCAGUAGGUUAGUUUAGAGCUGUGAUAUUGUGAUUUAUAAUAAAUAUAUAUUUGCUCUUGGUCUCUAUUCCUGGCACAGAGCUCCUAAAGUCCUUGGAAUGUCCUAAGUGGUGAGUUUAUGCUAAAGAGGUAACUUUUGGAAAACCUCUAAGGAUGGGGGGCUGGUUGCCAGGGGAGCCAACCAUGUGAUUAGAAGGUUGGAACUUUCACCACCCACCACCCUGACCUCCAGGGAAGGGAAAGUGGCUGGAAGUUGACUUAAUUUGCAAUGGGCAAUGAUUUCAUCAAUCACGUCUAUGUAAUGAAGCCUCCACAAGAAAAAAAUCUUAACAGAAGACCUUCAGAGAGCUUCCAGGUUGCUGACCACAUGGAGGUCAUGCCCAGAGAGGGUGUGAAAGCUCCACACCCCUUUUCCAUACCUUGCCCUACUUAUCUCUUCCAUCUGGCUGUUUCUAAGUUGCAUCCUUUAUAUUAAAGCAAUAAUGUUGUAAAUGAACUUUCUCUGAGUUCUGUGACCCAUUCUAGCAAAUGGUCAAACCCAGGAGGGAAUGGUAUGAACCUCUGGUUUACAGCCAUUGGUAAGAAGCACACAUGACAACCUGGACUUUCCAUCAACAUUUGAAGCGGGAGCAGUCUUGUGGGAUCAAGCUCUUAACCUGUGGGGUCUGCUACUAACUCUGUGCUACCUACAGAGAUCCCAGACCACCACCCAUGAUCCCAGGCUGGAGGAAGCAGCAGGCUAGCGGAAUUCAGGACCAAUGAGCCAGGAAAGAGGACCCAAUGCAGAGCUCACAUCCCACCCUCCUUCCCCCAUGACAAAGCACUGGCAAACCCUGCCAAAGAAGAAGCUUGGCUGCAAAGCAGUCUGGAACUGGACCCGGGAUAGAUUCACCAGGAGCUCACCACCACAGGGAAUGCUGCACUUUGACUGGACAGAAUGCAUCCUCCAUGCCCACAGAGCAUGUGCCCAGGAUGAAUCUCACUGUAUCCCAGUUCCUCAUGCUUGGCCCCAAACCUCUUUUUCACAGUAAUAAAGAAAACACACUUU